UAUUAUUAUUCUGGUUGUUUAAAGAUAAGAUGAUUUUGAGACAAAAUAUCAACAAGUAAGAGCACAACAUUUAGAAUAUUUUAACAGAUCCAAGUUGAGACUGCUGUCAAGGGAAAGAACAGGAAAGGGAAAGGGGAAAAAAAGAGAAGGAACCAGGGGAAAUCUGACAUCUUGGUUGUGGAGUACUGAGUCCUGGAAUCAGCUUCCCCGAGCCUGGACUCGGUUCUGCCGUUUACUUAGUAGAGACAGUAAACAGAAGCGGAGAGCUGUCCAGGACUUGAGUGAGCCAGCAUGCUUCUCAGAUGGAACUCGUGAGAACGGAGAGGUCAGAAGCCUCAAGUGUGGUGGUGAAUUCUCCUGAGGACCUGUGGCGUGACCCCUAGGAUCCUCCUCCCGCAAUAUGGUCCCUGCAGUGUCUUCCUGCUUCUCUCUGUGGUCUCCAGGGAGGGGAACUGGCAAGCCAAGCAGGAGGCUCUGGGAGCCCAGCAUGGCUACCAAGCAGGUUGAAGGGAUUCUAACACCCAAGCACCUCAGAACUCUCAUCUGCAUUGAACCUGAUAGGGCGAGGCUGAGGCAGAUGAGGGGAGGGUUUUGAACAGUGACCAGUCUGCUGCAACUCAGAAAGAUGCUGUGUGACUCUUGUGUCUGUUAUAAACUUGACAAGAUCUGGAAAGUCCAGGAUCCACCAUGCUUCUUGCAUUGAUUGGUUUGUCAGUUGGUCUUUUUCCAUCUACACUCCAGAUAUUCCCAUAGGAUUUGCUCCAGGGGAAGUGGGGAAGAGGAUCCACAUUUACUACGCUUCCCUUGGGCUGUGUGUUAGGACUCAGGCAUGAUGCUGUCCCCUGUCACCUGGCAGGAUGCACUCAGUCCAGGGUCCCGGGGCUGCUAUGUCACUAUAGUGGGUAUGCAGGUGCAAAAGCUCCCUUUAAGAGACAAGCUCCGCCCAUUCCUGCUCUCUUCCACACUUCUUCUGAAGAGGCAAGCAGGCUUCUGUCUCUCUCUCCCUUCAUUUUCUCUUUCCUCCCCCAUUCCCCUUAUCUCAGUAAAACGCCUCACUUAAACUCUGCCCGCAUGGCAUAUUUGUCUCUUGCCCACCAUGAGGCCUCUGGCUCUCACCCACUAGGGUCCUUGUCCUGCAGAAUCAUAUCACAGUGUCUCAAGGGAUCCACACAGCCUCCUAGAAUACUACCAUACCGUCCCAAAAGGACACCAAGGACGCCUGCUUGAGGAAACCUGCCCCAGGCCUCAGUAAGCCAUAUCUGAAACCCACCAUCUACCUACCACCAGAGGCCACUUGCCCAGUAGUCUGCCCGAACCAGAGAAGUGCCAAGAGCCAAAAGGUCCUCUAAAAGGCAGCCAAAGUACACUUCAUAGAUCUGAUGCACUAAAGAGGGAAUGUUUUAUUCAUGGGCCGACUCCCAGGGCCCUGCCCGGACCAUUACUGUUUUCUCUCCUGAAGCAGAGAAGAAGCAAGGGCUAUGAGGUCUAAGUACCUCAUUGCCUCCCAGCGGGGCUUCCAAUAGCAACUGUCUGGUUCCGACUGGUCUGUAGGACAACUCAGAACUGUCUGAUCUAGGUCCCUUCCUAGCUCUCCCUGACACCUCAUCCACCUUGUCAGUAGGAUUGAGGACCUGAUAUACAGAAUUUUAGCUCCAACAUUAAGAGUAAAAGAAAAACAAGUUUAUCUUGAAUCCCAACACUAGAAAUGAAGAAAAUGGAUUGGGCCCAGUUCAGUUUGCAUUAGGGUGGAAAGCCUCCUUUUAAGUAGAGUCUGCUUGGUAAUUUACUGGGAAGAAGUUCCUUUUAAAAGCCCACAAAUACCAUCAAAGUAACAGUCUGUUUUUAUUUUUUAUUUCUCGGGAAACCUGUGGCCAUUUAUUUCUGAUAAGAUCCGUGUCACACAAUAAAUAUGACUGGAGGCCAGGUGAGCACUCUGAUGUUGACCUCAUCUUUCUGACCAGCAGAUGAAACAGCCCGGGGGGCUAUUCGGGGAGAAGGUCAACAUCUACCCUUCUGCUGAGUCCUUCACAGGCUUUUCAAAAGGCUGUAAAGAAAUGUACUCACUCCCGAGAAUAUCCACGAGGGUGUCAGCCAAGUUAAACUGGAAGUUUGCAAGCCCUGGAGACUCCUCUGUCCCAGCUUUCCUCAGAGCUGGGGUUACAGGAAGGGUCAGAGGUCAAGCCAGCUGUCCGCCGCCAUACCUGAGAUGGCACCCGGUCCCUGUUCCGCUCUGCUAAUUGGAGGAUGGAGGAGAAAGUUUACUCAGGCCACAAAGUGCUGUCAAAUGCACUUCUGUCGGAACUUGGAAGCCAGCGAUGUUCAAAGGCCUGGGAC
Molecule: long non-coding RNA, 2334 nt
Organism: Alexandromys fortis (reed vole)
Lineage: Eukaryota; Metazoa; Chordata; Mammalia; Rodentia; Cricetidae
Exons: 3
Source: RefSeq, a predicted model, not a curated record